CUAAUUAAUUUUUAUCGUAAUUGUAAACAGUAAAUAAUAAAAGUUUAUCAAGCAUUCAUAAUAGAUUUUUUUUGUUAUGGCUCAAGCGAAUCGAGCUCUUUUCUCGGCGCGUUCUCAUUCGCAUAAUUUGAAAAAUUAAUACCUUGAUUAUUGGUGGACUCAACCCGAGACUUAACCCAAGACAGUAUUGGACUUUUAUGUUCAUCUCGAUCUCUUUUACCUUUUUACGAGUAAUGGUCCACGUGCGUUGAGACACCCUGUAUAUAUACAUAUAAAAUUAACUUUAACAUGCAAAUUUAAUUGUAAAUUUACCGCAACAAGUGGCUCUUCUAGAAGUCUGCCAAGAUAUUUCUUUUGCUGUUCUUUUGUUCCAGCUAUGAUAACUGGAGUUUGCUAAAUAGAAGGAACUGAGUGAAGAAACAAAAAGCAAAUUUUCACAAUGCAAUAGUGAUAUAAAACCUUCGGUAUGUAUAAUAUACUUUUAGUUAAAAAAAUAUAUGUUACAUAUUAUAUACUUUUUCGGUAUAUAUUAUAUUCAUCAAGGCUUUUGUUUUAGUUUGAUAGACAUCGUAUGCAUCGAAAAAUUAUCCAAUAGAUGAAUCAUUAAAUGCAACAUUAACUGAAGACUUUGAUUGGACAUAACACUGACAAGCAGAGUACAUCAAAUAAUUUAUCAGAUGCAUCUAGUAAUGAUGAAGAUAAUAUAAAUCCUUCAAUUAAUAAAUGUAUCAUUAGUAAAGAAAAAAAAUUAAAGAAAAAUAAUAAUGCUGAAAAUGAAUUUUAAAAAAUUUUAUACGCUAUUAAUUGUUCUACAGCAGUUCAAAAUACGGUAAUAUUUUUAUGCAAAAUAUUUUAUACAUAUUUUGUUAAUUUUAUUAAUUUUAUUAAAUAUUCUAAACAUAUGUUUUUGUCAUUUUUAAUAGGAUUUUAAAAAAUUGUUACAAAACUUUGUUGACAGCUAAAUUAUUAUAAAAUUUUAUGAAUACCAUGACAUACUUGAAGCUAAACGUAGAAAAUUAACUGAUCUUGAUUUUACUUAAUUUAUGUUUCAAAAAUCUGAAAACGAGACAGAAA
RNAcentral lists this long non-coding RNA (1074 nucleotides) under Monomorium pharaonis (pharaoh ant). Its description in RNAcentral is "uncharacterized LOC118647648, transcript variant X2". Lineage: Eukaryota; Metazoa; Arthropoda; Insecta; Hymenoptera; Formicidae. The record is from RNAcentral.